GAGGAAAAGAAACUAACCAGGAUUCCCUCAGUAAGGGCGACUGAAGCGGGAAGUGCUCAGGAUGUGAAUCUGCGCUUUAAGUAGCGUCGAAUUGUGGUCUGUCGACUGUAUCGUAACUGGCCGGGCCAAGUCCCUUGGAACAGGGCAGCUGAGAGGGUGAGACUCCCGUAGGCCUGGGUAGGUGAGGUACAAGUCAAUGAGUCGAGUUGUUUGGGAUUGCAGCUCAAAGCGGGUGGUAAAUUCCAUCUAAAGCUAAAUAUUGGUGGGAGACCGAUAGCGUACAAGUACCGUGAGGGAAAGAUGCAAAGAACUUUGAAAAGAGAGUUAAAGAGUACCUGAAAUUGCUGAAAGGGAAGCGAAGGAAAUCAGUGUCGGCGUGGUCAUAUUUCCCAUUCCUGUAUGGGAUUGGGCGCUGUGUCCUGCUUUAGUAAUCUUUGGUUGGUUUCGGUGGAAGAGCGCGUACAGAGUUGAUGUAGGUUGCUAGCACCGUGGUUGACUGAGGAGUACGAAAUGGUUUUCUUUACCCCGUCUUGAAACACGG
Molecule: ribosomal RNA, 541 nt
Filed under: Nitzschia gracilis
Lineage: Eukaryota; Bacillariophyta; Bacillariophyceae; Bacillariales; Bacillariaceae
Description: partial large subunit ribosomal RNA
Rfam family: Eukaryotic large subunit ribosomal RNA
Source: RNAcentral